Molecule: ribosomal RNA, 552 nt
Filed under: uncultured bacterium
Lineage: Bacteria
Description: bacterial SSU rRNA
Rfam family: Bacterial small subunit ribosomal RNA
Source: RNAcentral
CCUACGGGAGGCAGCAGUGGGGAAUUUUGGACAAUGGGCGCAAGCCUGAUCCAGCAAUGCCGCGUGAGUGAAGAAGGCCUUCGGGUUGUAAAGCUCUUUUGUCAGGGAAGAAACGGUGUGGGCUAAUAUCCCGCACUAAUGACGGUACCUGAAGAAUAAGCACCGGCUAACUACGUGCCAGCAGCCGCGGUAAUACGUAGGGUGCAAGCGUUAAUCGGAAUUACUGGGCGUAAAGCGUGCGCAGGCGGUUUUGUAAGUUUGUCGUGAAAUCCCCGGGCUCAACCUGGGAAUGGCGAUGAAGACUGCAAGGCUAGAAUCUGGCAGAGGGGGGUAGAAUUCCACGUGUAGCAGUGAAAUGCGUAGAGAUGUGGAGGAACACCGAUGGCGAAGGCAGCCCCCUGGGUCAAGAUUGACGCUCAUGCACGAAAGCGUGGGGAGCAAACAGGAUUAGAUACCCUGGUAGUCCCACGACCUAACCGAUAGUCUACUAGUUAGUUCGGUUUAACGUUUAACUUAGUUAACGUACAGACUACGCGUGAAGUAGACCGCCGU